UCGUCAUCGGUGGUGUGAGCUUGUUAUUAAACACAAAUACACAGCAGGGUAUGCUGAUGUUGAGAAAUUCCUGAAAGAAGAUCAGGCAAUGGGCGUCUACCUAUAUGGAGAAUUAAUGGUGACCGAGGAUGCAAAACAGCAAGAAAUUGCUUAUAAAUGUUUUGCCAGCACCUGUGACCAAAUGGAUCCAUCCUCAGCUAAAGUAGUGGCAGACAUGUUAUUCUGAUGAGAAAAGACCAGAGACUUAAUGUAUCUGCUAACGAAAUGGUGGUGGUUAUUAGGAUUUCCUUGACCCUGGACAUAAAAACAAAAAAAGGAUUAUGUGAAUGUAAACUAUCACCUAAUACACAAUUUAUCCACUUAACUGUCUUGAUUCAUAAUGAAUUAAAGGUGCUAAUCCAGGCCUGAAAAAAAAUCACCAGACCUGAAAUAAUUGCCUUUAUUUGAAUAAGCAUUUUGUGCUAAUUUUGAGUGUGAGCAACUAGUGACUGCUAAAAUUUCUUUUAAAACUUUAAUUAUUUACCAAUCUUAAUCUUGAUUGUUAAUUGGUAUUUUUAUUGUUGUUUAACAUUCAACCCAUUGGGAUGUUUCAAAAAAAUAGAACAGAACU
Non-coding RNA from Pogona vitticeps (central bearded dragon), 610 nucleotides. NCBI's taxonomy places the organism in Eukaryota, Metazoa, Chordata, Lepidosauria, Squamata, Agamidae. The record is from RefSeq and is a predicted model, not a curated record.